Molecule: long non-coding RNA, 375 nt
Organism: Etheostoma cragini (Arkansas darter)
Lineage: Eukaryota; Metazoa; Chordata; Actinopteri; Perciformes; Percidae
Exons: 2
Source: RefSeq, a predicted model, not a curated record
ACAGAAACAAUAAGACAGAAGGUAGACCAUUCAAGCCAACAGACCUUCCUCGAGCCCAACAUUUACUUCUACAUGCCCCACCUUAGACAACAUCCUGACAGCCUCCUACCCAACGUAGUGCUGGGACAGGGGCGCCGUGGAGUGUCCCUGGUUCUGGGCAUUCCUACAGUGAAGCGGGAGAAGCAGAGCUACCUGGUCAGCACACUGCGCUCUCUGUUGUACGGCCUGACGACUCUGCAGCAGCAAGAUCUCCUCAUAAUUGUCUUUGUUGCUGAGGUUAGACACACAUUCACUCCCAUUACAUUCAACUUCCACAAUUUGUUCCAACAGUAACACCAACAGGUACAAUUAUUGUAUUGCAAUAUUUGAAUGUUG